UACGUAGGUGGUGAGCGUUGUCCGGAUUUACUGGGCGUAAAGCGCGCGCAGGCGGGCUGGUCAGUCCGGGGUGAAAUCUCACGGCUCAACCGUGAGCGGUCCCCGGAUACUGCCAGUCUUGAGGUGUCUAGAGGAGAGUGGAAUUCCUGGUGUAGCGGUGAAAUGCGCAGAUAUCAGGAAGAACACCAAUGGCGAAGGCAGGUCUCUGGGCAUUAACUGACGCUGAGGAGCGAAAGCAUGGGGAGCGAACAGG
This 253-nucleotide ribosomal RNA is filed under the name uncultured bacterium. RNAcentral describes it as "partial 16S ribosomal RNA". It matches the Rfam family "Bacterial small subunit ribosomal RNA", at positions 524 to 776 of the family's 1533-position model. The record is from RNAcentral.